This 67-nucleotide transfer RNA is filed under the name mouse gut metagenome. It matches the Rfam family "tRNA". Rfam says of the family: Transfer RNA (tRNA) molecules are approximately 80 nucleotides in length. Their secondary structure includes four short double-helical elements and three loops (D, anti-codon, and T loops). RNAcentral also lists the same sequence under 1 other name. The record is from RNAcentral.
GGAUAUAGUUCAGUUGGUAGAGCGCCAGAUUGUGGAUCUGGUUGUCGUGGGUUCGAGUCCCUCUAUC